This 23-nucleotide small nuclear RNA is filed under the name Arabidopsis thaliana (thale cress). Its description in RNAcentral is "snRNA_03737". The record is from RNAcentral. Lineage: Eukaryota; Viridiplantae; Streptophyta; Magnoliopsida; Brassicales; Brassicaceae.
UCAGAUAGAACUCAAUAUAUAGC